UACGUGAAACCGUUCAGGGGUAAACCUGAGAAACCCAAAAGAUCGAAUGGGGAGAUUCAUCGUCAGCCGGCUUGGCUUGCGUGUGGUUCGCGAUGACCGGAGCCUCGGCUCUCGCGUCACGCAAUCGCUGCGUCAUGUCCGAGUUGGCCGGCGUGCACUUCUCCCCUAGUAGGACGUCGCGAUUCGUUGGGUGUCGGUUUACGGACCGGUAGGUAGCCUGGUGAGUUACGUUCACGCGUACCACUCGCCAGACCUCCGGCUUCCCAACCGGCUGCCCGGCGAUAUAAAACGAUAAUCCAAUGGCAUUGAGCCGCGUUGAACGCGUUUUCGGCUCGUCGGCAGAUUCGCCUCGCUCGGAUUUACGGACCUAGCGCCGUUGCCGGGUGCUUGGCGGGUCGUUCGCCGGCGAUGUCCUCGAACUGGCUCAAAAAUAUUCUUACAGAAUAUGCCGAUCGGCGACGCUACUGCUUUGGGUACUUUCAGGACCCGUCUUGAAACACGGACCAA
This 507-nucleotide ribosomal RNA is filed under the name Encarsia citrina. RNAcentral's name for it is "eukaryotic LSU rRNA". The record is from RNAcentral. Lineage: Eukaryota; Metazoa; Arthropoda; Insecta; Hymenoptera; Aphelinidae.